This 1006-nucleotide long non-coding RNA is filed under the name Triticum aestivum (bread wheat). RNAcentral describes it as "long non-coding RNA (TAES_LNC019197)". The record is from RNAcentral. Lineage: Eukaryota; Viridiplantae; Streptophyta; Magnoliopsida; Poales; Poaceae.
UGGAACUCUAAGAACAGAGCACUUCAGAUUUUCAUGGUUGAUUUUUAUUACCUGUUGGCUGGAAAAUAAAAGACCAUUGCAGUACCUGAUUUCAACAACUUCAUGGCUUUUAAAUUUCACUGCCAUUAGAAUGCCUUGUUCGAAAACACGUGAGUUAUUAUUAGAAAAUUUACUUGCAUAUUAGUACAGAUUUUUAAUUUAAAACUUUGUGCAAACCAAACUACAAUAUAACUUCCUAUACAAAAAUAUAACUAAUGGAUAUAUUUUCAUUGCAUAGAUCCAACAAUGUUGUGCUAACUUCCCCGUUUUUCUAUAUGGAUGCGUACACUACAAGAGAAGCCACUCCCAAGAUAAAAAAAAUCAUCACAACUGGUACUCUAGCGUUGGUAAUCAUCUGCCUUGACCAAUCCUCUACUUUAGAGAAUCUGCACAAAUCCAUCUAACUUCGAGCAUGAUGGAAAACCAAUAGAACAAAAUUAACAGCCGCUAUCCACCGGGGGUUGGAAACUUAAGAAUUCCCCAAAUGCGCUAGUAAUAACCUGUCCAAUAGCCAUCUGAGAUUCAAGACUAAAACAUUCCCAAAAUCAAAAUGCCAGAAUCAGUCUCCAAGAUUUACCCAAAACAAUUGACUACAACCAGCAUGAACGCCACCUGCACAAAUAAGGAUUGGUGAGAUAUUAGAACACUGUAAUCAUUGCAUUGAAGAGGGGUUGUGCAGGAAAGAAAUAGAGGGUGACCAAGCCAAGAACCAUGCUGCUAAAGGUUCUGUUGCCUGAGUACUAAGGGUGACGGGAGAGUGCAAGGUGAGGUAGCUUAUAUGCACAGAUGCUUGUACUAAAGAAAACAGAAAGUCACACCUACUGCCUUAAGCGUCACCAGCAAGUGGCAUACAUCAUCCACCAUGAGUCAACCAGAAACUGAAGAUUGAUUACUUCCUUCAAACCACAGCGGAUCGAUUUCGUCCGUUGAAUAGACAAACAGCCGCUCCGGUUCGUAUCAACCAUCU